This 1041-nucleotide long non-coding RNA is filed under the name Crocodylus porosus (Australian saltwater crocodile). RNAcentral describes it as "lncRNA (ENSCPRG00005007659.1)". Lineage: Eukaryota; Metazoa; Chordata; Crocodylia; Crocodylidae. The record is from RNAcentral.
UUCGUUUUGCAUUGUUGGCUUAGUGUAGAUUUUUUUUUUUUUUUAAUCAGGCAAUGUUAGAAUAUAUUGUUUAAAUAGAAUAAAAAGUAGCCCUUUCUCUGAAGACUUUCCAACCUAGGUCACAGAUCCGAUAAGUAGAAAUCCACAGGCUGAUCCCUGUGCCUGUGAAGAGACAUACUGGCUUAAUGUUUAAGAUUUAUGGAGUCUUUAAAUCAGAAUUGGAUCCAUAUCUACAAUUGGAAGAAAAGAUUUUGAGGUACUCCAACAACUCUGUACCACAAGCAGUUAAAUGUCUGCAAAAUCAGCAAUACACACACACGACGAGAGACAUGCUUGGAUGGGAUGGGCUCCACCUUUCCCCUAAAGGUAAGCGUGUGUGUUCUUCUGGGUUGGCAGACGUCCUUCCAGCGGGCUUUAAACUAGGCUCAUUGGGGAAAGGGGAAGUUGAGGGCGGAGGAAACAUCAGACUGCCAGACCAAGCAACAUCCACAACUACAGCCCAGCCUAGACCAACGAGUGAAACAAAUAAACAGGUAACCGACAGAGGCCAGGGCACCGCUGGGACUAGGGGGUCAGCACACACAUCCACAGGAGGCCUCAAACGCCUCUACACAAAUGCUUGUAGUAUGGGAAACAAGCAGGAGGAACUCACCCUCCUGCUAGCUGACACUAGCCUGGACAUGGUGGGGAUCACUGAAAUGUGGUGGGACUCAACGCGUGACUGGGCAGUGAAUGUCAAGGGCUAUACGCUGUACAGGAGGGACAGGAUAGGAAGGAGAGGUGGGGGUGUGACACUCUAUAUUAAGGAGGAAUACACAUCCUCGUCAAUUAGCAGGGAGUCAGAGGAAGGGCACUCUGAAGUGCUUUGGGUUAGAGUACACGGCAGUCGAGGGGAAAGAGACUUAAUGGUGAGGGUCUACUACAGACCUCCCAACCAAGGGGAAGAGCUUGACCAGGAAUUCUUGGGUCAGCUCACGGAGGUAGCGAAGUCUAAGAAAGUGGUAGUCAUGGGGGACCUGAACUUCCCGGACAUCUCCUCAG